Cyanistes caeruleus (blue tit) is the source of this 2537-nucleotide long non-coding RNA. The record is from Ensembl. NCBI's taxonomy places the organism in Eukaryota, Metazoa, Chordata, Aves, Passeriformes, Paridae.
GCUCAUCGACAAGGAGUACUACUACACCAAGGAGGAGCAGUGUGAGAAUCCUGGGAACUCUGGGGAAUUUUUUGGGAAUUUUUUGGGAAUUUUUUGGGAAUUUUUUGGAUUUUUUUUGGAUUUUUUUUUGAUUUUUUUGGGAUUUUUUUGGGAUUUUUUUGGGAUUUUUUGGGGGAUUUGUUUUGGGUUUUGAGGCUCAUCAACAAGGAGUAGUGCUCCACCAAGGAGGAGCAGUGUGAGCAGGAAUUCCAGGAAUUUUUGGGAAUUUUUGGGAAUUUUUUCGGAUUUUUUGGGGAUUUUUUGGGGGAUUUGUUUUGUGUUUUGAGGUCAUCAACAAGGAGUAGUGCUCCACCAAGGAGGAGCAGUGUGAGUAGGAAUUCCAGGAAUUUUUAGGAAUUUUUCGGGAAUUUUUGGGAAUUUUUUUGGAUUUUUUUCAGAUUUUUUUCAGAUUUUUUUCGGAUUUUUGAGGGAUUUUUUUUGGGAUUUUUUGGAGGAUUUGUUUAGGGUUUGGAGGCUCAUCGACAAGGAGUACUACUACACCAAGGAGGAGCAGUGUGAGAAUCCUGGGAAUUUUGGGGAAUUUUUUGGGAAUUUUUUGGGAAUUUUGGGGAAUUUUUUGGGAAUUUUUUCAGAUUUUUUUUUCAUUUUUUUCGGAUUUUUUUCGGAUUUUUUUCGGAUUUUUUUGGGGAUUUUGGGGGAUUUGUUUUGUGUUUUGAGGCUCAUCAACAAGGAGUAGUGCUACACCAAGGAGGAGCAGUGUGAGCAGGAAUUCCAGGAAUUUUUAGGAAUUUUUUGGGAAUUUUUUGGGAAUUUUUUUGGAUUUUUUUCGGAUUUUUUUUGGAUUUUUUUCAGAUUUUUUGGGGAUUUUUUUGGGAUUUUUUGGAGGAUUUGUUUUGGGUUUUGAGGUCAUCAACAAGGAGUAGUGCUACACCAAGGAGGAGCAGUGUGAGAAUCCUGGGAACUCUGGGGAAUUUUUUGGGAAUUUUUUGGGAAUUUUUUGGGAAUUUUUUGGAUUUUUUUGGGAUUUUUUUGGGAUUUUUUUUGGAUUUUUUUGGGGGAUUUCAGGGGAUUUGUUUUGGGUUUUGAGGCUCAUCAACAAGGAAUAGUGCUACACCAAGGAGGAGCAGUUCAAGCAGGUGUUCAAGGACCUGGAAUUCCUGGGCUGGUACACGAUGGGGGGGCCCCCCGAGCCCGCCGACAUCCACGUCCACAAACAGGUGGGAACCCCGGAAUUCCGGGAAUUCUGGGAAUUCUGGGAAUUUCUGGGAAUUUUGGGGAUUUCUGGGAAUUUUUGGGAAUUUUUGGGGAAUUUUUUGGGAUUUUUGGGGGGCAUUUAUGGGUUUUUUUCUUUAUUUUUUGGGGUUUUUUUGGGGAAUUCGAGGGGAAUUUUGGGAAGUUUGGGAGGGACUUGAAGGAUUUUGGGGAAUUUUGGGGAAUUUUGGGGAAUUCUGGGAAUUUUUGGGGAUUUUUUGGGAAUUUUUUGGGGGGAUUUAAGGGGAAUUAUGGGGAUUUUUGGGGGGUUUUUUUGGGAAUUUGAGGGGAAUUUUGGGCAGUUUGGGGGGUCCUGGGUGGAAUUUCGGGGGAUUUUUGGGAAUUUUGAGGAAUUUCUGGGAAUUUUCGGGAAUUUUGGGGAUUUCUGGGAAUUUUCAGGAAGUUUUUGGAAUUUUUUGGGGGGGAUUUAAGGUUUUUUUUUAUUUUUUGGGGGUUUUUUUUGGGAAUUUGAGGGGAUUUGGGGAAGUUUGGAGGAUCCUGGGUGGAAUUUUGGGGGAUUUUUGGGAAUUUUGAGGAAUUUCUGGGAAUUUUUGGGAAUUUUCGGGAAUUUUGGGGGAUUUUUUGGAAUUUUUGGUGGUGAUUUAAGGGUUUUUUUUUAUUUUUGGGGGUUUUUUUUGGGAAUUCGAGGGGAAUUUUGGGGAGUUUGGGAGGGACUUGAAGAAUUUUGGGAAUUCUUGGGAAUUUUUGGGAAUUUUGGGGAAUUUUUGGGAAUUUUGGGGAAUUUUCGGGGAUUUUUUGGAAUUUUUUGGGGGGAUUUAAGGUUUUUUUUUAAUUUUUUGGGGUUUUUUUUGGGGAAUUCGAGGGGAAUUUGGGGAAGUUUGGGAGGGACUUGAAGGAUUUUUGGGAAUUUUGGGGAAUUCCGGAAAUUCUGGGAAUUUUCAGGAAUUUUUGGGAAUUUUUUGGGGGGAUUUAAGGGGAAUUAUGGGGAUUUUUGGGGGUUUUUUUUGGGAAUUUGAGGGGAUUUGGGGAAGUUUGGGGGGUCCUGGGUGGAAUUUCGGGGGAUUUUUGGGAAUUCUGGGAAUUUCUCAGAAUUUUGGGGAAUUUCAGGGAAUUUUCAGGAAUUUUUUGGAAUUUUUGGGGGGCAUUUAAGGGUUUUUUUUAUUUUUUGGGGUUUUUUUGGGAAUUCAAGGGGAAUUUUGGGAAUUUUUGGGAGUUUGGGAGGGAUUUUGGGGGAUUUUUUUGGGGAAUUUUGGGAGGAAUUUUGGGAAUUUUUGAGGGAUUUUGGGAAUUUUUGGGAAUUUUUGGGCUUCCUGGGUGGAAUUUUG